Molecule: long non-coding RNA, 1936 nt
Organism: Triticum dicoccoides
Lineage: Eukaryota; Viridiplantae; Streptophyta; Magnoliopsida; Poales; Poaceae
Exons: 5
Source: RefSeq, a predicted model, not a curated record
CGACCUCCUCCUCCUCCUCCCACAGCCGCGCCGUUCGCCUCCUGCAGCCGCGCCCUUCACCGCCUCCUCGCGCAGUCGGAGCCACGGGAAGCGGUCGCCGGGAGCCUCCCCAGCCGCGGGAGCCCGCCCCCGCUGCGGGUCGCCGGGAGCCUCCCCUGCCGCCCCCUUCGCCGCCUCCCCAGCCGCAGCUUGGCCGCUGCCACACCGCCUCCGCCACGCCUCGAUUCCUUCAUCCUCUUCCCGAGCCGCUGGCGUCCGUCACGCGCCCCCUACUCUUCUCCUCCAACCUGGCCAGUCCCCACACCCGGAGCCCCUGCGGAUCGAGGCGUCUUCCACGCAGAGGACGACGCGGGAAACCUCCAUUGCCCUCCAUUCUGACGGCCGCCCUACAGUUGCCCCGACACGAUGGUUCUCCUCUAUUGUUCUGAUCGAGCGACGUGUUCAUUUUUUAUAUUUUUUCUGUGGCAGAUCAUGACGACGACCCUGACAGGAGAGGAGGAGGAGGACACGGAGAAGAAGGACCGAGAGUUAGACAUGGAUGUGCAUUAUGAGGCAACACGCCGCCGUGUUUGCCCCACCAUCUUCUGAUCUCUUCAGCAUUCCUGCUGUCUUGGGUUUUCUCUGUAAGUUUGGGUCCGUAGGCACACACCCUCAUAAUCUCUGUCGCUCCCUCUAAUUUCUGUGGACAUACAGACACACGCAGUGUUUAGAACGAUGUCCGCUUCAGAGUUUCAGUUCAACUCACCCAGACAGAAAUACAUUCUAUCACUGGCUAAGCAUAGUACGAACUGGGUGGACAUGGAGUCAAGGACAUGGUAAGGAAGUCAAGCAAGUGGUUGAUUUGCUCUCUUCUUCGUUUCACCAUGCUGCACCCCUUCUAGCUUAUUAGUCGCCUCUUUCAUCUCUUUUCACUGUACUAACCUGCCAAUAUUUUCCCAUCUCUGCAACGAUUGACAUGUUUAGUUUUAGUUUUACAGUAGACCAGAAUGUAUGCUGAUCUACAGUGUUUCUUAAUUGUACAUGGUCUUCUCAACUUCAAGGUCAUAACCGAUUCAGUUUUGUUUAUAAUCUAUUUUCCCUAUCACUUUUUAACUCUUGAAUUCGCCAGGCCAACCAUCCUACAGUAGUGUAGGAAUUCAGUUAGCACGUCAUAACAUGUUAUUCUCUUUCGAUAAUGCUUUUGUUGGAUUUUUUAGGAACAAGGUGGCGAAAAAAUAAGUGGUUGUGGAAGCAAUGGUUUGUUUGGGGAGGUGGAGAACAUUUUUAUGUUAUUUUUGUCAGAACUCGGAGUCGGGACAACUCAACAAGGGAACGAGGAGCCUCAAGGGAGAUACCUGCAUAACACUGGAUGCAGUGAAGAAGGAAUCAGAAAUGUUCUUAUGUUUUAGUGGCGGAAUGGCAAGGCGGCCGGUUAGAUGACCUGGGUCCGUGGCGAGUUGGUGGCUCUCGACUACAAGAAGAUCAUUGAGGCAAUCGAUAGUAGAUUUCAACAAGAAUCUAUAAAGGGCUCUAAGGGAGUAGAGGAAUCAAAAGAAAACACCUGACAGUGCAAAGUGCACUUAGGCAGUAAGGUCAACACAAGACUACUCAUGAAACGAUACACAUACGAACUCCCGGACAUUGCAUACCGGGGAGCUUUCUUCUAUUUAGGAUUUAAGGCUGAUAAUAUGCUCACGAAAAGACAGGAAUGCAGCACCACUCCAAUCUUUAGAAGGUCCCCACCCUGUUCUGUGAUGAAUGUGGAUAAAGACGAAGCAGAGAACAUAAUAUCUUGGUGAAGGCAUCUCAACCGAGAUGAGACAUUGUUUAUUUAUUUAUGUCAUAUCCUACUCAUAGUCUGUUGUUCUGUGAGCAAUUGUUUGUUUUUUAACAGCUUACCAUUGAUAAUGAAUCGUGUAUGGUGGCUUUGUUAAUAUUCAAGUAGUAUUACAUAUUA